This 253-nucleotide ribosomal RNA is filed under the name uncultured bacterium. RNAcentral describes it as "partial 16S ribosomal RNA". It matches the Rfam family "Bacterial small subunit ribosomal RNA", at positions 524 to 776 of the family's 1533-position model. The record is from RNAcentral.
UACGUAGGUGGCAAGCGUUGUCCGGAAUUAUUGGGCGUAAAGCGCGCGCAGGCGGUCUCUUAAGUCUGAUGUAAAAUCUCGCGGCUCAACCGUGAGCGGUCAUUGGAAACUGGGAGACUUGAGUGCAGAAGAGAAGAGCGGAAUUCCACGUGUAGCGGUGAAAUGCGUAGAGAUGUGGAGGAACACCAGUGGCGAAGGCGGCUCUUUGGUCUGUAACUGACGCUGAGGCGCGAAAGCGUGGGGAGCGAACAGG